UCGAUCUGAACAGUCAAGGCGAUAAGCGAGUUGAGAUCUGUCAGUAGUUCCUGGGCUGCAAGCUCAUCCUUUACUUCCUCCGAUACUCAGUACAGGAACAUGUCGAACAGUGCUUCCGGAUUCCAGGUGCUCUCUGCUGCCAACGUGUGGAAAUCUACUGCAUAGUCUGCCACACUGCAGGAGUUUUGCAAGAAAGCUGGAGUAACUUCCGGGCAGCCUCUCUCCCGGACAAUGGAGCAUCAAAAAAACUCUUUACCUCCGCCACGAACUCCUCUAGACUGAAGAAUAUGGCCGACUGUUGUUCCCAUACUUCCGUAGCCCAGGCGAGAGCCCUCCCGGACAUCAGCGUGAUGAGGUAUGCUAUUUUAGAGUGGUCCGAGGGGAAGGAGGAGGGCUGCAGCUCGAUGAUGAGGGACCACUGAGCGAGAAACGCCCGACAGUUGCCCCACUCUCCAUCAAAGCAUUCCGGGGGAGGUAAGCGGUGUUCCCGGGAUACCGGGGUUGCCGAGAAGGCGGGCUGGUUGGUUACCAUCGUGGUAGGUUGCCUAACAGACAACCCGCGGAUUUGCUCCAGCAAUGUGUUCAACGCUCGGUCAUGGCAUUUGGCCAAGGUCUGGAACCCUUCCAUCAGACCACGAAGCAACUGAUGGCUCCUUGGGAGGAGAUCGCAUUGCGGAGCUUUUCCGCGUCUGCUGGGUCAGUCAUGGCCAGUUCGUACUAUCACGCUUCAGGGAAGACCCAGAUGCUGACAGUGUUGAAGUAACAAAAGUGUAUUAGUAGAACAGGGGGCAGGCAAAACUACAGGUCAAGGGCAGGCAGAGGUCAGUAAUCCAGAUCAGAGUCCAAAAGGUUCAGAACAGCAGGCAGUCUCAGGGUCAGGGCAGGCAGAAUGUUAAAUACCAGGAAAACUAGAAAACAGCAAGGGGGAAAAUGCUGGUAGGCUUGAAGAACAAAACAUACUGGCAACAGACAAACAGAGAACAUAGGUAUAAAUACAUUGGGGAUAAUGGGGAAGAUGGGUGACACCUGGAGGGGGGUAGAGACAAGCACAAAGACAGGUGAAACAGAUCAAGGUGUGACAGGAUGGAGAUAAAAGACAGUAAAAAGACAUGAUGAUGUCGAUCAAACAACGUUAUGUCCCAUAUUCUUUAGAAGUAGAUGGCAAGACCGCUCAGACCCCACUUGUGAAGUUGACAAAGCAAAAUGCAGAUAAAUUCCCUUUGUUGGAUUCAACAUUUUGAACAUUGAGAUCUGAAAUAAAUGAUAGGAAAGAAGAGUAGAAUCAAAGGAGAAAGAGACAGGGUUUUAUGUCAGAAGUUAACCUCUAUGGGCUAGGUGGGACGCUUGCAGCCACUGGCAGCCUUUCAAAACCUUAAAAAUCCUAUUACUUCAAUUUCUCAAACAUAUGACUAUUUUACAGCUAUUUAAAGACAAGACUCUCGUUAAUCUAACCACACUGUCCGAUUUCAAAAAGGCUUUACAACGAAAGCAAAACAUUAGAUUAUGUCAGCAGAGUACCAAGCCAGAAAUAAUCAGACACCCAUUUUUCAAGCCAGCAUAUAAUGUCACCAAAACCCAGAAGACAGCUAAAUGCAGCACUCACCUUUGAUGAUCUUCAUCAGAUGACAA
Molecule: long non-coding RNA, 1629 nt
Filed under: Salmo salar (Atlantic salmon)
Lineage: Eukaryota; Metazoa; Chordata; Actinopteri; Salmoniformes; Salmonidae
Description: lncRNA (ENSSSAG00000094907.1)
Source: RNAcentral